This 253-nucleotide ribosomal RNA is filed under the name uncultured bacterium. Its description in RNAcentral is "partial 16S ribosomal RNA". It matches the Rfam family "Bacterial small subunit ribosomal RNA", at positions 524 to 776 of the family's 1533-position model. The record is from RNAcentral.
UACGUAGGUGGCAAGCGUUGUCCGGAUUUAUUGGGCGUAAAGAGCGUGUAGGCGGCUAUACAGGUCCGUUGUGAAAACUGGAGGCUUAACCUCCAGACGUCGAUGGAAACCGUAUGGCUAGAGUCCGGAAGAGGAGAGUGGAAUUCCUGGUGUAGCGGUGAAAUGCGCAGAUAUCAGGAAGAACACCCGUGGCGAAGGCGGCUCUCUGGGACGGUACUGACGCUGAGACGCGAAAGCGUGGGGGGCGAACAGG